Molecule: ribosomal RNA, 93 nt
Filed under: Beauveria bassiana
Lineage: Eukaryota; Fungi; Ascomycota; Sordariomycetes; Hypocreales; Cordycipitaceae
Description: partial 28S ribosomal RNA D1 region
Source: RNAcentral
CUCAGGGCCCGAGUUGUAAUUUGUAGAGGAUGCUUUUGGCGAGGUGCCUUCCGAGUAUGGUCGGACACCGAGCCUCUGUAAAGCUCCUUCGAC